AGAGGGAAACAACCCAGACCGCCAGCUAAGGUCCCAAAGUCAUGGUUAAGUGGGAAACGAUGUGGGAAGGCCCAGACAGCCAGGAUGUUGGCUUAGAAGCAGCCAUCAUUUAAAGAAAGCGUAAUAGCUCACUGGUCGAGUCGGCCUGCGCGGAAGAUGUAACGGGGCUAAACCAUGCACCGAAGCUGCGGCAGCGACACUCAGGUGUUGUUGGGUAGGGGAGCGUUCUGUAAGCCUGCGAAGGUGGCCUGUGAGGGUUGCUGGAGGUAUCAGAAGUGCGAAUGCUGACAUAAGUAACGAUAAAGCGGGUGAAAAGCCCGCUCGCCGGAAGACCAAGGGUUCCUGUCCAACGUUAAUCGGGGCAGGGUGAGUCGACCCCUAAGGCGAGGCCGAAAGGCGUAGUCGAUGGGAAACGGGUUAAUAUUCCCGUACUUGGUGUUACUGCGAAGGGGGGACGGAGAAGGCUAUGUUGGCCGGGCGACGGUUGUCCCGGUUUAAGCGUGUAGGUGUGUGUUCCAGGUAAAUCCGGUUCACUUUAACACUGAGGCGUGAUGACGAGGCACUACGGUGCUGAAGCAACAAAUGCCCUGCUUCCAGGAAAAGCCUCUAAGCAUCAGGUAACAUCAAAUCGUACCCCAAACCGACACAGGUGGUCAGGUAGAGAAUACCAAGGCGCUUGAGAGAACUCGGGUGAAGGAACUAGGCAAAAUGGUGCCGUAACUUCGGGAGAAGGCACGCUGACACGUAGGUGAAGUGAUUUACUCAUGGAGCUGAAGUCAGUCGAAGAUACCAGCUGGCUGCAACUGUUUAUUAAAAACACAGCACUGUGCAAACACGAAAGUGGACGUAUACGGUGUGACGCCUGCCCGGUGCCGGAAGGUUAAUUGAUGGGGUCAGCGCAAGCGAAGCUCCUGAUCGAAGCCCCGGUAAACGGCGGCCGUAACUAUAACGGUCCUAAGGUAGCGAAAUUCCUUGUCGGGUAAGUUCCGACCUGCACGAAUGGCGUAAUGAUGGCCAGGCUGUCUCCACCCGAGACUCAGUGAAAUUGAACUCGCUGUGAAGAUGCAGUGUACCCGCGGCAAGACGGAAAGACCCCGUGAACCUUUACUAUAGCUUGACACUGAACAUUGAGCCUUGAUGUGUAGGAUAGGUGGGAGGCUUUGAAGUGUGGACGCCAGUCUGCAUGGAGCCGACCUUGAAAUACCACCCUUUAAUGUUUGAUGUUCUAACGUGGACCCGUAAUCCGGGUUGCGGACAGUGUCUGGUGGGUAGUUUGACUGGGGCGGUCUCCUCCUAAAGAGUAACGGAGGAGCACGAAGGUUGGCUAAUCCUGGUCGGACAUCAGGAGGUUAGUGCAAUGGCAUAAGCCAGCUUGACUGCGAGCGUGACGGCGCGAGCAGGUGCGAAAGCAGGUCAUAGUGAUCCGGUGGUUCUGAAUGGAAGGGCCAUCGCUCAACGGAUAAAAGGUACUCCGGGGAUAACAGGCUGAUACCGCCCAAGAGUUCAUAUCGACGGCGGUGUUUGGCACCUCGAUGUCGGCUCAUCACAUCCUGGGGCUGAAGUAGGUCCCAAGGGUAUGGCUGUUCGCCAUUUAAAGUGGUACGCGAGCUGGGUUUAGAACGUCGUGAGACAGUUCGGUCCCUAUCUGCCGUGGGCGCUGGAGAACUGAGGGGGGCUGCUCCUAGUACGAGAGGACCGGAGUGGACGCAUCACUGGUGUUCGGGUUGUCAUGCCAAUGGCACUGCCCGGUAGCUAAAUGCGGAAGAGAUAAGUGCUGAAAGCAUCUAAGCACGAAACUUGCCCCGAGAUGAGUUCUCCCUGAGACUUAGAGUCUCCUGAAGGAACGUUGAAGACGACGACGUUGAUAGGCCGGGUGUGUAAGCGCAGCGAUGCGUUGAGCUAACCGGUACUAAUGAACCGUGAGGCUUAACCUUACAACGCCGAAG
RNAcentral lists this ribosomal RNA (1946 nucleotides) under Salmonella enterica subsp. enterica serovar Agona. RNAcentral describes it as "partial 23S ribosomal RNA". It matches the Rfam family "Bacterial large subunit ribosomal RNA", at positions 1014 to 2925 of the family's 2925-position model. Lineage: Bacteria; Pseudomonadati; Pseudomonadota; Gammaproteobacteria; Enterobacterales; Enterobacteriaceae. The record is from RNAcentral.